GGGAACGUCAAAGGAGACUGCCAGUGAGUAAACUGGAGGAAGGUGGGGAUGACGUCAAGUCAUCAUGGCCCUUACGACCAGGGCUGCACACGUGCUACAAUGGCGCAUACAAAGAGAAGCGACCUCGCGAGAGCAAGCGGACCUCAUAAAGUGCGUCGUAGUCCGGAUUGGAGUCUGCAACUCGACUCCAUGAAGUCGGAAUCGCUAGUAAUCGUGGAUCAGAAUGCCACGGUGAAUACGUUCCCGGGCCUU
RNAcentral lists this ribosomal RNA (252 nucleotides) under uncultured Enterobacteriaceae bacterium. Its description in RNAcentral is "partial 16S ribosomal RNA". It matches the Rfam family "Bacterial small subunit ribosomal RNA", at positions 1132 to 1382 of the family's 1533-position model. Lineage: Bacteria; Pseudomonadati; Pseudomonadota; Gammaproteobacteria; Enterobacterales; Enterobacteriaceae. The record is from RNAcentral.